AGCGAACGCUGGCGGCAGGCCUAAUACAUGCAAGUCGAGCGCCCCUUCGGGGGAGCGGCGGACGGGUGAGUAACGCGUGGGAACGUGCCCUUUGGUACGGAACAACUGAGGGAAACUUCAGCUAAUACCGUAUGUGCCCUUCGGGGGAAAGAUUUAUCGCCAUUGGAGCGGCCCGCGUUGGAUUAGGUAGUUGGUGAGGUAAAGGCUCACCAAGCCUACGAUCCAUAGCUGGUCUGAGAGGANGAUCAGCCACACUGGGACUGAGACACGGCCCAGACUCCUACGGGAGGCAGCAGUAGGGAAUCUUGCGCAAUGGGCGAAAGCCUGACGCAGCCAUGCCGCGUGAAUGAUGAAGGUCUUAGGAUUGUAAAAUUCUUUCACCGGGGAAGAUAAUGACGGUACCCGGAGAAGAAGCCCCGGCUAACUUCGUGCCAGCAGCAGCCGCAGUAAG
RNAcentral lists this ribosomal RNA (451 nucleotides) under uncultured bacterium. Its description in RNAcentral is "bacterial SSU rRNA". It matches the Rfam family "Bacterial small subunit ribosomal RNA", at positions 29 to 524 of the family's 1533-position model. The record is from RNAcentral.